GGCACAGCUCCAGGGGUCACAUUCACAGGAAAAUGGACAAGGAGUAUCAAUUCCCACAGAUUCUCAAAGAUUGUGUCCCCUAAAGCUGUGCGCUACUCUGGCCAUAGCACUUGAUGGGUUGCAACCAAACCCCUGUGUGUUUAUGUCCCAUCUUUUCAGACCCUGAGCUUACUAAACUCCCCAAUGUUUAGUACAGUGCCUGGCACAUCAUCAUGUCUCCAAGGUAUUUGCAGACUGAGUGAAUAAAAGUAUCUGCAAGAGCUGGCAGGUCUCAGAAGGCGGUGGGUAAGGGACCCGGGCCAGCAGUGUGUACGCAUAGAAAUGUCAGGAUGAGCAUUGGCUUUGGGGGCUGGAAGGUCGGCUCUGGACGUGGAGGAGAGGCACCAGCAGGCUGGAGCCCUCUGUCCUCAACGGCUUCCCCCAGAGAUAGUAGCCUCGGAAGCCUUUCUCCUGUUCCCUCUCCCUCUGACUUAUCUAAGGAGUCACUGUCCUUCCCCAAGAACUACCUCCCACACAGCUCCAGGGGCCUGUCUGCACAAGGGCAUGGGUUUGUGUUAAAAGAGGCCAAUUAUUUCCCAUUAGCUUACUCUGAGAACACAGGGUCAGCAGACCAACAUUUGACUUGUGUGUGGUUCAGAAGAAACAGGCCCAAC
RNAcentral lists this long non-coding RNA (653 nucleotides) under Marmota monax (woodchuck). The record is from RNAcentral. Lineage: Eukaryota; Metazoa; Chordata; Mammalia; Rodentia; Sciuridae.